AAGAUGCCGAUAGCGAUGGCACGUGCGACGCAACGGACGGCUGUCCCAACGACCCGAGCAAGAUCGCCGCGGGUGCAUGUGGUUGCGGCGCGGCCGAGACGGAUAGUGAUUCCGAUGGCACCCCGAACUGCAUCGACGGCUGCCCGGCCGACCCGAACAAGAUCGCUCCGGACGUUUGCGGUUGCGGCGUGGCCGAUACCGACAGUGAUGGCGACGGCACUCCGAACUGCAACGACCUCUGCCCCAAUGAUCCCUUCAAGGCCGCGCCAGGCGUGUGUGGUUGUGGCAUCGCCGAUACCGACAGCGAUGGCGACGGCACUCCGAACUGCAACGACCUCUGCCCCAAUGAUCCCUUCAAGAUCGCG
This 365-nucleotide unclassified non-coding RNA is filed under the name uncultured bacterium. RNAcentral describes it as "contains 16S-23S intergenic spacer region". The record is from RNAcentral.